Molecule: ribosomal RNA, 468 nt
Filed under: uncultured bacterium
Lineage: Bacteria
Description: partial 16S ribosomal RNA
Rfam family: Bacterial small subunit ribosomal RNA
Source: RNAcentral
GACGAACGCUGGCGGCGUGCUUAACACAUGCAAGUCGAACGGAAAGGCCCUGCUUUUGUGGGGUGCUCGAGUGGCGAACGGGUGAGUAACACGUGAGUAACCUGCCCUUGACUUUGGGAUAACUUCAGGAAACUGGGGCUAAUACCGGAUAGGAGCUCCUGCUGCAUGGUGGGGGUUGGAAAGUUUCGGCGGUUGGGGAUGGACUCGCGGCUUAUCAGCUUGUUGGUGGGGUAGUGGCUUACCAAGGCUUUGACGGGUAGCCGGCCUGGGAGGGUGACCGGCCACAUUGGGACGGAGAUACGGCCCAGACUCGAACGGGAGGCAGCAGUGGGGAAUAUUACACAGUGGGCGGAAGCCUGAUGCGGCAACGCCGCGUGCGGGAUGACGGCCUGCGGGUUGUAAACCGCUUUCGCCUGUGACGAAGCGUGAGUGACGGUAAUGGGUAAAGAAGCACCGGCUAACUACGUG